RNAcentral lists this ribosomal RNA (865 nucleotides) under uncultured Anaerococcus sp. Its description in RNAcentral is "bacterial SSU rRNA". It matches the Rfam family "Bacterial small subunit ribosomal RNA". The record is from RNAcentral. Lineage: Bacteria; Bacillati; Bacillota; Tissierellia; Tissierellales; Peptoniphilaceae.
GAUUAACGCUGGCGGCGUGCAUAACACAUGCAAGUCGAACGAUGAAACUUUUUUGAUUUCUUCGGAAUGAAAAAAAGUGGAUUAGUGGCGGACGGGUGAGUAACGCGUGAGUAACCUGCCUUAGAGAAGGGGAUAGCCUUUGGAAACGAAGAAUAAUACCCUAUGAAACCAUAACCUCGCAUGAGGCCUUGGUCAAAGAUUUAUCGCUCUAAGAUGGACUUGCGUCUGAUUAGUUAGUUGGUGGGGUAACGGCCCACCAAGACAGCGAUCAGUAGCCGGCUUGAGAGAGUGUACGGCCACAUUGGGACUGAGACACGGCCCAGACUCCUACGGGAGGCAGCAGUGGGGAAUUUUGCACAAUGGGGGAAACCCUGAUGCAGCGACGCCGCGUGAUUUAGAAGGCCUUCGGGUUGUAAAAAUCUUUUCUAUGGGAAGAAAAUGACAGUACCAUAGGAAUAAGGACCGGCUAAUUACGUGCCAGCAGCCGCGGUAAUACGUAAGGUCCCAGCGUUGUCCGGAAUCAUUGGGCGUAAAGGGUACGUAGGCGGGUAAGCAAGUUAGAAGUGAAAUCCUAUAGCUCAACUAUAGUAAGCUUUUAAAACUGCUCAUCUUGAGGUAUGGAAGGGAAAGUGGAAUUCCUAGUGUAGCGGUGAAAUGCGCAGAUAUUAGGAGGAAUACCGGUGGCGAAAGCGACUUUCUGUCCAUAACCUGACUCUGAGGUACGAAAGCGUGGGUAGCUACAGGAUUAUAUACCCCGGUAGUCUAAGGGGGAAUUCCACAUUGGAUGUCAGCUUAUCGAUCCUCUCGACUCUAGGGGGGGGCCCGGCAGACCAAUCCUAUGUUCUCUUUAUUGAUGGUUAUUAUA